GUUGCCAUUUCCUUCUCCAGGGGAUCUUCCCGACCCAGGGGUCAAACUCAUGUCUCCUGCAUUGGCAGGCAGAUGCUUUACCACUGAGCCACCUGGGAAGCCCUGUGGUGGGGGAGACAUAAUAAAAAAUCAACCUAGGGAGCGAAUUGCAUGGUAUGUUAGAAGGUCCUUUGGGGUAAAAAUGAGAAGUAGAGCAGGAUGAAGGGGUUGAAGAAGGGACCAGGGAUGGUUUUAAAGGCAGUCUUUGGGGUGGGUCUUCUUUGGAUGACACUGUCUGAGCAGUCUUGAAGCAGGGAGGGGAUCAGUGCAGGAGCCUCCAGGUAGAAGGAACGGCCAGUGCAAAGACUGGAGUCAGAAUGCACCUGGAGAGUUCCAGUAGGGUAGGACGGCGGGGGGAAGACAGAGGGGCUGGGGCAGAGGCAGCAAAAAUGCGAGGGCUGUUGAAAGGACUUGCCUUUUUGCUAGCAGUGAUCAGGGAAUUGUUGCAGGGCGUUAAGCAGAGGCGGUAACUUGCUCCUUUACCUUUAAAAAAAUGUAUUUAUUUAUUUGGCUGCACCAGGUCUUAGUCUUGGCCCACGAGAUCUUUGAUCUUCAUUGGGGCAUGUGGGAUCUAAUUUCCUGACCAGGGAUCAAACCCAGGCCCGCUGCAUUGGGUGGGUGGAGUCUUAGCCACUGGACCAUCUGAACCCCUGGAGAAGCCUCUGUGCUUUCCCUAAUCUUCCUUUAUUCUUUAGGAGUCAUCCUUGGAAGGCCUCUACUCCUUUGCCGGGCUGCUUAACCUUCAGAUAAAAUAUUCCAGUCCUGAGCUCAUGGUCUCUGUAAUUUCUCUGUAGUUUUCUCCCAUGGGUGUGAUUAGAGCAAAACUUCUAGAAAGUGCUGCAAACCUCUGCAGAAACUGGCCCCCAUAGACUUCAAUUUGGCAUCACAGGGAACACAAUGCUAGAACAUUCUUUCAGACAGUGUUUCCCUAAUUGUCCAGAUAACAAGGGUCUCCUGGGCUCCUUGUGGAAGCACUGGGCUCUGAUGUGGCCUCAUGGAGCUGGCGAUUCGGGGCGUGGGCGGGGCGGCCAUCUGCAUCAUUAGACACACCUGGGGCAGGUAUCCCACCAGGCCCAGGGACCCUGGUCCUCAUAGCUGCCCAGGUUCUGAGCACACCAAGAAGAGAAACAAUGACUAGGGCAAAAAAGAGGUCAGAACUUCACUUAUUCCCUACCAGAGGGUGGACUGUGAGGCUGUCAAGUCAGGCAGCCCAGGAGUUCUGCUCGUUACAUUUGUGGAUGGAGGCUGAUUUGUCUCAGAACCUUGAGCUGACCCUUCCCUUGUGCCCGAGGCCCUGGAGCAGUAGCAGAGCCUGCAGAAGCUCACUUCCAGAGAGAGCCGGGGAAACCGCCCCCUGCCCCCCGCUGCCUGCAGGAACUCUCCCUCGUAUGUCAGUUUGAGAAGCUGCUUCCUUCCCCAGAAGCGGGAGAAGCUGCACAUUCAACUGCUCAGCUAAUUAAUUAGCCUUUGGACAAUGCUUUACAUGGAAGUCAAACGAUCUUGGAAGACACUAAACAUUUUAAAAUUCAAGAAAGGGAGGAAGGCCAAGGGCAGUUAUUCUCAGCUAGAACAGAGCAAUGAAAUAAGCCAUAUUGACUACAUUGACCAACACAAGGAAAAAUGAAAAAAAAUUUUUAUUUGGAGAGCCUGGGUAGAAUAAUAACACAUGGAAACAUACUCAUCUGACUUUAUGAUAAUAAUAAUAUUGCCUUAUAUUUUUAAUUAUAUAGCUCAUACCUUUCAAAAUGUUGUCAUACACAUUAGCUUAUUAGAUUUUCUACAAAAUUCUACUAGUUAGCUAGAUUAGAACAAAAAGACUUCAUUUUUAAUCCAGUAGUCUUUUAGUGAAUCUAUUAUCUGUCAUCAUGCACGAUAGAAUGUUUAUCAUUGGCUACUUGGACUUGUCUACAUGGAGAUAAACUUUUGGCUUGAAAAACAAAGAAAUAAAUAUUUUCUGAUUGUUGUUCAGUUACUCAGUCGUGUCUGACUCUUUUCG
This is a long non-coding RNA of Bubalus bubalis (water buffalo), 2035 nucleotides long. RefSeq lists it as uncharacterized. Lineage: Eukaryota; Metazoa; Chordata; Mammalia; Artiodactyla; Bovidae. The record is from RefSeq and is a predicted model, not a curated record. The transcript is spliced from 3 exons.